CCUACGGGUGGCAGCAGUGAGGAAUAUUGGUCAAUGGACGAGAGUCUGAACCAGCCAAGUAGCGUGAAGGAUGACUGCCCUAUGGGUUGUAAACUUCUUUUAUAGGGGAAUAAAAUGUUCCACGUGUGGGAUUUUGUAUGUACCAUAUGAAUAAGGAUCGGCUCACUCCGUGCCAUCAGCCGCGGUAAGACGGAGGAUCCGAUCGUUAUCCGGAGUUAUUGGGUUUAAAGGGAGCGUAGGAGGCUUGUUAAGUCAGUUGUGAUGGUUUGCGGCUCACCCGUAAAAUUGCAGUUGAAACUGGCAGUCUUGAGUACAGUAGCCGUGGGCGGAAUUCGUGGUGUAGCGGUGACAUGCUUAGCUAUCACGCAGAACUCCGAUUGCGAAGGCAGUUCACUGGACUGCAACUGACACUGAGGCUCGAAAGUGUGGGUAUCAAACAGGAUUAGAUACCCCGGUAGUC
Molecule: ribosomal RNA, 460 nt
Filed under: uncultured bacterium
Lineage: Bacteria
Description: partial 16S ribosomal RNA
Rfam family: Bacterial small subunit ribosomal RNA
Source: RNAcentral